AAACAAGCAUGGCAGGAGAGAUACCAUGAUCAAAAAAGUAGACAACUAUUUAAUAACCAUUGUACUCCAGAUAUGCUGAUCCCUGAGGUGUCAGUUAUCCAUUUGUGGAAAACUCAACUGCAUAACUGCAUAAUUUGUGGUAGUGGGGUGCCUCAUGCAUUUGCCUCCCAU
Molecule: small nuclear RNA, 171 nt
Filed under: Meriones unguiculatus (Mongolian gerbil)
Lineage: Eukaryota; Metazoa; Chordata; Mammalia; Rodentia; Muridae
Description: U1 spliceosomal RNA (ENSMUGG00000005682.1)
Source: RNAcentral